GCUCAAACAAGGACUUUCAUAAAGUGUGAAGUAUAGUUUCUGAUAUGGCGAUAUUUAAACAUUGUUUUAUUAUCACUAUCAUUCUCAUGGCAACCACAAUUAAUAUGUCGAGAUUUCCAAUGACGCAAGUUAUAGCUGCACAGAAUAUCGAUCAUGAUUUCUCAGGAUUCAAGAGGAGAAUACUCCCACAACUUGCAACUUGUUUUAGAAGUUGUACUUCCAAUGAUGAUUGCAGUGACUGCUGGGUUUGUUGUACUUGUGGUAUGCAUUAUGGACCCAGUCAAAAUACGUGCGUAGUUGGAACAUAAAAAUGUUAAUAUCAUUGUGUCGCAACAAACUCCUUUACAAAUUCCUAUUACGCAUAAGUAUUCCCUGUAAUUUCAGUGUUUCUGUUGUAUUGUCCAGUUCUCUUUUCUUUCGUAUUUAUAUGAAUAAUGAAGAAACUCAUGUCAAUGGAUUUCUAUUCAGAAAAUAAAAAUUGAUUUCAUUCCAAA
This is a long non-coding RNA of Nicotiana tabacum (common tobacco), 494 nucleotides long. RefSeq lists it as uncharacterized. The record is from RefSeq and is a predicted model, not a curated record. NCBI's taxonomy places the organism in Eukaryota, Viridiplantae, Streptophyta, Magnoliopsida, Solanales, Solanaceae.